CCUACGGGGGGCAUCAGUGGGGAAUAUUGGACAAUGGGGGGAACCCUGAUCUAGCCAUGCCGCGUGUGUGAAGAAGGCCCUCGGGUUGUAAAGCACUUUCAGUGAGGAAGAACGCCUGGUGGUUAAUACCCAUCAGGAAAGACAUCACUCACAGAAGAAGCACCGGCUAACUCCGUGCCAGCAGCCGCGGUAAUACGGAGGGUGCGAGCGUUAAUCGGAAUUACUGGGCGUAAAGCGCGCGUAGGUGGCUUGAUAAGCCGGUUGUGAAAGCCCCGGGCUCAACCUGGGAACGGCAUCCGGAACUGUCAAGCUAGAGUGCAGGAGAGGAAGGUAGAAUUCCCGGUGUAGCGGUGAAAUGCGUAGAGAUCGGGAGGAAUACCAGUGGCGAAGGCGGCCUUCUGGACUGACACUGACACUGAGGUGCGAAAGCGUGGGUAGCAAACAGGAUUAGAUACCCCGGUAGUC
This 465-nucleotide ribosomal RNA is filed under the name Vreelandella stevensii. Its description in RNAcentral is "partial 16S ribosomal RNA". It matches the Rfam family "Bacterial small subunit ribosomal RNA", at positions 338 to 795 of the family's 1533-position model. The record is from RNAcentral. Lineage: Bacteria; Pseudomonadati; Pseudomonadota; Gammaproteobacteria; Oceanospirillales; Halomonadaceae.